AAGGAUGACAGUGGCUGACCUCCCGCUCCAACUACAUAUACACAGCUCCAUACUCUCAGAGAGUCCUGCAUCCCACAAUGGGGGCAAACUGGGAAACCCAGCUUCUGAACUUUGUGGCAUUAGGUUCUGCUGGUUAUCUAUUGGACUCUGACCUUACCCAUGAUGUCUUAACUGUUGCUCAGCCUUCCCACAUUCUCUCACCUGUACUACAUCUUGCAAGAUUCUACAAAAUUUCUGGUCAAGAAAAUGCAUCUGUUUCCCUUUGCUAAUCCUUUACAUAAUUCUGACUCUAAAACUAAGGAUUCCACAUAUGAGUCAAAUCAUGCAAUGCUAACUGAAAUAAGUCAGACUGAGAAAGAAAAAUGCAAGUACUUUAACAUGUAUUCCUCCAACCCAAAUUUUAUUAUUAAAAUUCCAUGAGGCUUCUUCAAAAGCCUACUAGUCAUCUUAAAAACUAA
This is a long non-coding RNA of Neofelis nebulosa (Clouded leopard), 458 nucleotides long. RefSeq lists it as uncharacterized. The transcript is spliced from 4 exons. NCBI's taxonomy places the organism in Eukaryota, Metazoa, Chordata, Mammalia, Carnivora, Felidae. The record is from RefSeq and is a predicted model, not a curated record.